GCAAUCAUAGUAUAAUGGAUAGAACGCAAGACUCCGACUCUUGAAAUGUGGGUUCGAUUCCCGCUGGUUGCA
This is a transfer RNA of Lachnobacterium bovis DSM 14045, 72 nucleotides long. It matches the Rfam family "tRNA". From Rfam's summary of the family: Transfer RNA (tRNA) molecules are approximately 80 nucleotides in length. Their secondary structure includes four short double-helical elements and three loops (D, anti-codon, and T loops). The record is from Rfam. NCBI's taxonomy places the organism in Bacteria, Bacillati, Bacillota, Clostridia, Lachnospirales, Lachnospiraceae.